AUGUCACGUUGAAAAACCGGUUCCCGUACUAUUAACGAAGUUAAGCAAUGUCGAGCCUGUUUAGUACCUAGAUGGGUGCCUGCUUAGGAAAACCAGCUGCUGUAGU
This is a non-coding RNA of Acanthosepion pharaonis, 106 nucleotides long. The record is from the annotation of a GenBank genome assembly. NCBI's taxonomy places the organism in Eukaryota, Metazoa, Mollusca, Cephalopoda, Sepiida, Sepiidae.